Long non-coding RNA from Corvus hawaiiensis (hawaiian crow), 828 nucleotides. RefSeq lists it as uncharacterized. The record is from RefSeq and is a predicted model, not a curated record. NCBI's taxonomy places the organism in Eukaryota, Metazoa, Chordata, Aves, Passeriformes, Corvidae. The transcript is spliced from 3 exons.
GAAAGUGAAACCCGUCACACCCCCCCGCCCCGGGCUCCGGGAGGAAGAUUUGUCAACGCAAAUCUUUGGUGUUCCCCUUGUCCUUAGCACGCCUAAGCCACCCUUGACCUACCCUAAACCCAGGACAGGUUUACCUCGAGCAAAACCCUACUCUGUGAUGUGGCAGAGACACACCCUGCAAGAGACAGCUGAAGAGAUGGAGCUGGGGAAGGCGAGUGGGAAAUGAAGCCCAAAGGGAGAGGGCCCUGGCUGUUCUCACCGGUGGAGAUCUGAGCUGAAGAGCACAUGCUGCAGGUGAAACGUCUCCCAAAACACCCUCCCCAUCCAGAGGUGAGUGAGUGAUGAGACAAAAAGAGGAUUUAGAGACAACGUGACUCCAGCAGGCCAUGAGAACAAUGAGAAGUUCAAAAAUAGCAGUAUUGACUGGUGGAAAAACAACAUACAUAUAAUUUUCAGGUAAUUACUGCGGUAUAAUUAGCUGGGUUGUUUUCAUAUGAGCCGUCUGAAAUGAACUCUGCUUGCUGCUGGAGCUCGGCUUUAUUCGCAGCAUUCCCAUGACUCAAGGGAUGCUGUAGGAAGAGUGAUUGGGUAAAAAAUGAAGAUUUUUUUCAUAGCUGAGCCCAUCUUGGGGCACAGCCUGGCUGCUGCUGCUUUAUUCUCAGUUUAUCCUCCUCUUCUGGCACAAGAACUGGAAGUUUUGAGCAUAAUCCCCUCCUAUAGCUCUACAGGAAUCCCACGCGCGGUCCAUAAUGGGAACUGUAGGACAGGAAAGGGAUUCGAAUUGUAACAGGCCUUUUUCUAGAUCACUCUCUGUGAAAAAUUGAUAUA